AACAGCACGGUGACGCGCUCGUUAUGCUAACCUCAAAAUUUGUUUCAUAUCUUUUUUUGCCCAACUCACGUUCACACGAAUUCCUCUGCAUGUAUAUUUAAAACUUGUUUAGCUCCAAUAGGAGGCAGUAAAGAACAUAAUAAAAUUGAAGUGCUUACUCUUUAUUUAUUAAAUUUUGAGGCACUGAGCGUCUUUAUUCCUCCAAUAGGGGAUAGGCUGGAAUUUUUGGGUAGACUUGAAGAUUUUAAGAGGUAUAGAGAGGUGAUUGUUGAUAUGGUAGAUGAGGAAGUAAUUCUGGGUGCGGAAACUCCAGAAUUUACAGAGAUUCCAGAGUCCUCAAUAGCUGACGCAUCCUCUGAGGCGCCUACAGAGGAUCAGAAUAAGAGG
Belonocnema kinseyi is the source of this 387-nucleotide long non-coding RNA. RefSeq lists it as uncharacterized. The transcript is spliced from 3 exons. Lineage: Eukaryota; Metazoa; Arthropoda; Insecta; Hymenoptera; Cynipidae. The record is from RefSeq and is a predicted model, not a curated record.